This 428-nucleotide ribosomal RNA is filed under the name uncultured prokaryote. Its description in RNAcentral is "bacterial SSU rRNA". It matches the Rfam family "Bacterial small subunit ribosomal RNA", at positions 355 to 774 of the family's 1533-position model. The record is from RNAcentral.
UGAGGAAUAUUGCGCAAUGGGCGAAAGCCUGACGCAGCGCCGCCGCGUGAGGGAAGAAGGCCUUCGGGUCGUAAACCUCUGUCUAGAGGGAAGAAACCAUUGAGGUCGAACAGGCCUCUUUGCUGACGGUACCUCUGAAGGAAGCACCGGCUAACUCCGUGCCAGCAGCCGCGGUAAUCCGGCGGGUGCGAGCGUUAAUCGGAAUCACUGGACGUAAAGCGCACGUAGGCGGUGUCGUAAGUCGGAUGUGAAAGCCCUCGGCUCGACCGGGGAACUGCAUUCGAGACUGCGAUGCUUGAGUGCCGGAGAGGGUGGCGGAAUUCCAGGUGUAGGAGUGAAAUCCGUAGAUAUCUGGAGGAACACCAGUGGCGAAGGCGGCCACCUGGCCGGCAACUGACGCUGAGGUGCGAAAGCGUGGGGAUCAAACA